RNAcentral lists this ribosomal RNA (450 nucleotides) under uncultured bacterium. RNAcentral's name for it is "bacterial SSU rRNA". It matches the Rfam family "Bacterial small subunit ribosomal RNA", at positions 29 to 524 of the family's 1533-position model. The record is from RNAcentral.
AGCGAACGCUGGCGGCAGGCUUAACACAUGCAAGUCGAACGGGCACUUCGGUGCUAGUGGCAGACGGGUGAGUAACGCGUGGGAACGUGCCUUUCGGUUCGGAAUAAUCCAGGGAAACUUGGACUAAUACCGGAUACGCCCUUCGGGGAAAGAUUUAUCGCCGAAAGAUCGGCCCGCGUCUGAUUAGCUAGUUGGUGAGGUAAAGGCUCACCAAGGCGACGAUCAGUAGCUGGUCUGAGAGGAUGAUCAGCCACACUGGGACUGAGACACGGCCCAGACUCCUACGGGAGGCAGCAGUGGGGAAUAUUGGACAAUGGGCGAAAGCCUGAUCCAGCCAUGCCGCGUGAGUGAUGAAGGCCUUAGGGGUUGUAAAGCUCUUUUGUCCGGGAAGAUAAUGACUGUACCGGAAGAAUAAGCCCCGGCUAACUUCGUGCCAGCAGCCGCGGUAAU